This 1246-nucleotide ribosomal RNA is filed under the name metagenome. RNAcentral's name for it is "bacterial LSU rRNA". It matches the Rfam family "Bacterial large subunit ribosomal RNA", at positions 1564 to 2820 of the family's 2925-position model. The record is from RNAcentral.
UGAAUACGAGACGCUAAGGCGUCGAAGUAGUGUAUGUCAUACUUCCAAGAAAAGCUUGCACUGUCAUAGAUAAAAAACGCCUGUACCAUAACCGACACAGGUGGGUAGGUAGAGUAUACUAAGGGGCGCGAGAUAACUCCCUCUAAGGAACUCGGCAAAAUAACUCCGUAACUUCGGGAGAAGGAGUGCCUUAUUCUUAAGGUUGCAAUAACAAGAUCCAAGCAACUGUUUAUCAAAAACACAGGUCUCCGCUAAGUCGUAAGACGAUGUAUGGGGGCUGACGCCUGCCCAGUGCCAGAAGGUUAAAGAAGCUGGUUAGCAUUUGCGAAGCUAGUAACUGAAGCCCUGGUGAACGGCGGCCGUAACAAUAACGGUCCUAAGGUAGCGAAAUUCCUUGUCGGGUAAGUUCCGACCCGCACGAAAGGCGUAAUGAUUUGGAUACUGUCUCGGAGAGGGGCUCGGUGAAAUAGACUUGUCUGUGAAGAUGCGGACUACCUGCACCAGGACAGAAAGACCCUAUGAAGCUUUACUGUAACUUGAAAUUGAAAUUGGACUUUAUUCGCGCAGUAUAGGUGGGAGGCGUUGAUUAUAAUCUUGCGGGAUUAUUGGAGCCAUUAGUGAGAUACCACUCUUGUAAUGUUAGAUUUCUAACUUUGAAUCAUUAUCUGGUCAAAGAACAGUUUCAGGCGGGCAGUUUGACUGGGGCGGUCGCCUCCCAAACGGUAACGGAGGCGUACAAAGGUUUCCUCUGAACGGUUAGAAAUCGUAUCUAGAGUGUAAAGGCAUAAGGAAGCUUGACUGUGAGACCUACAAGUCGAGCAGGGACGAAAGUCGGUCUUAGUGAUCUGACGGUACUGAGUGGAAAGGCCGUCACUCAACGGAUAAAAGUUACUCUAGGAUAACAGGCUGAUCUCCCCCAAGAGUUCACAUCGACGGGGAGGUUUGGCACCUCGAUGUCGGCUCAUCGCAUCCUGGGGCGGUAGUACGUCCCAAGGGUUGGGCUGUUCGCCCAUGAAAGCGGUACGCGAGCUGGGUUCAGAACGUCGUGAGACAGUUCGGUCCAUAUCCGGUGUAGGCGUUAGAAUAUUGAGAGGAGCCUUCUUUAGUACGAGAGGACCGAGAAGGACAUACCUCUGGUGUACCAGUUAUCGUGCCAACGGCAGACGCUGGGUAGCUAUGUAUGCAGUGGAUAACCGCUGAAAGCAUCUAAGUGGGAAGCCCACCUCAAGAUAAGUAUUCUCAUCAA